RNAcentral lists this ribosomal RNA (158 nucleotides) under Lecanora pulicaris. Its description in RNAcentral is "5.8S ribosomal RNA". It matches the Rfam family "5.8S ribosomal RNA". Rfam says of the family: 5.8S ribosomal RNA (5.8S rRNA) is a component of the large subunit of the eukaryotic ribosome. It is transcribed by RNA polymerase I as part of the 45S precursor that also contains 18S and 28S rRNA. The record is from RNAcentral. Lineage: Eukaryota; Fungi; Ascomycota; Lecanoromycetes; Lecanorales; Lecanoraceae.
AAACCUUUCAACAACGGAUCUCUUGGUUCUGGCAUCGAUGAAGAACGCAGCGAAAUGCGAUAAGUAAUGUGAAUUGCAGAAUUCAGUGAAUCAUCGAAUCUUUGAACGCACAUUGCGCCCCUCGGUAUUCCGGGGGCAUGCCUGUUCGAGCGUCAUUA